RNAcentral lists this ribosomal RNA (253 nucleotides) under uncultured bacterium. Its description in RNAcentral is "partial 16S ribosomal RNA". It matches the Rfam family "Bacterial small subunit ribosomal RNA", at positions 524 to 776 of the family's 1533-position model. The record is from RNAcentral.
UACAGAGGGUGCGAGCGUUAAUCGGAAUUACUGGGCGUAAAGCGCGCGUAGGCGGCUUUUCAAGCCGAUUGUGAAAUCCCCGGGCUUAACCUGGGAACUGCAGUCGGGACUGUCUAGCUAGAGUAUGGGAGAGGGAAGUGGAAUUUCAGGUGUAGCGGUGAAAUGCGUAGAUAUCUGAAGGAACAUCAGUGGCGAAAGCGACUUCCUGGAUCAAUACUGACGCUCAUGUGCGAAAGCGUGGGGAGCAAACAGG